Molecule: long non-coding RNA, 629 nt
Filed under: Rattus norvegicus (Norway rat)
Lineage: Eukaryota; Metazoa; Chordata; Mammalia; Rodentia; Muridae
Description: long non-coding RNA NONRATT022697
Source: RNAcentral
AUGGAGCAGCGGGAGUGAGCGCAGACCAUGGCGGAGCCUCCCUGGCCAGAGUCUCCCCACUGCCUCCUCCUGCUUCAAGGACUCACUUUCUCCGCCUCCCCCAACAUAGAGUAGCCAUUGCUUUUUAGUCUAUUUUGUUUUCAAUACAAUUUAAUAUCAAUCAGAGUAAUUCUUUGUACAUUGAGGGGAGGGGCUUGGUCUAACCUCCCAUCCUCACCCACGGAACCACCAGGAUUGGAAGGAGCUCCUGACUCCUGCCGCCGCCUUUUCCCACAGCCUGUAACUUAAUGUUUUAUAUUUGAAUUGUGGUGGCUUGAAGGUCAUGUAUAGCUUGUGGAAAUCUUCCAAUUAAAUGUCUUGCUUUCAGUGGUAUCACCCCGACUUCAGAUAACCCUGGGCCACCUUGGGAAGCCAUCCUUGAGGCCCUCGCUCCAAUAGGAAAGGCAUGGUGGACUCACACAGCAGUCACUUGUCCUGACACCCUGUGGUGUUUGGCACGAGGCUCCCAGCCACUUAAACCUGUUCACUUUCCAAAGAGUUUGCCAUCUUCCAGCCUGUCCCGUUGUGUCCUCGCUUGUCUGCAUUCAUUAGCGGUAAUAUUCUUUUACGUAUAAUAAAUUUUUAUACCC